RNAcentral lists this ribosomal RNA (631 nucleotides) under uncultured Pelagibacterales bacterium. RNAcentral describes it as "bacterial SSU rRNA". It matches the Rfam family "Bacterial small subunit ribosomal RNA", at positions 73 to 745 of the family's 1533-position model. The record is from RNAcentral. Lineage: Bacteria; Pseudomonadati; Pseudomonadota; Alphaproteobacteria; Candidatus Pelagibacterales.
GCGGUAGCAAUACUGAGUGGCAGACGGGUGAGUAACAUGUGGGAAUCUGCCUUGUGGUUCAGGACAACAUUGGGAAACCGAUGCUAAUACUGGAUAAGCCCUUACGGGGAAAGUUUUAAUGCCAUAAGAUGAGCCCGCAUUUGAUUAGUUAGUUGGUGAGGUAAUGGCUCACCAAGACAAUGAUCAAUAGCUGAUCUGAGAGGAUGAUCAGCCACACUGGGACUGAGACACGGCCCAGACUCCUACGGGAGGCAGCAGUGGGGAAUCUUGCACAAUGGAGGAAACUCUGAUGCAGCGAUGCCGCGUGAGUGAAGAAGGCCUUUGGGUUGUAAAGCUCUUUUGUAGGGGAGGAUAAUGACUGUACCCUAAGAAUAAGGUCCGGCUAACUUCGUGCCAGCAGCCGCGGUAAUACGAAGGGACCUAGCGUAGUUCGGAAUUACUGGGCGUAAAGCGCGCGUAGGCCGUUGGGUUAGUUAAUUGUGAAAUCCCAAAGCUUAACUUUGGAACUGCAAUUAAAACUGCUCGACUAGAGUUUGAUAGAGGAAAGCGGAAUACAUAGUGUAGAGGUGAAAUUCGUAGAUAUUAUGUAGAACACCAGUUGCGAAGGCGGCUUUCUGGAUCAACACUGACG